Diospyros lotus (date-plum) is the source of this 102-nucleotide small nucleolar RNA. RefSeq annotates it as small nucleolar RNA R30/Z108. The transcript has a single exon. The record is from RefSeq and is a predicted model, not a curated record. NCBI's taxonomy places the organism in Eukaryota, Viridiplantae, Streptophyta, Magnoliopsida, Ericales, Ebenaceae.
GGAGAUUGCGAUGAGGAUAAAAAAGCUCCCUCUUCUGAUUGAAAGUUGAGGAAAAUGCUGGCAGAAUCGAACCUAUGUCUUACUUAUGCCGCCGCUGAGCAG